UCCAGACUUUGAUUCUGGCUCAGGAUGAACGCUGGCGGCAUGCCUAAUACAUGCAAGUCGAACGAGAGGAAGGAAAGCUUGCUUUUCUGAAUCUAGUGGCGAACGGGUGAGUAACACGUAGGUAACCUGCCCAUGUGCCCGGGAUAACUUCUGGAAACGGAUGCUAAAACCGGAUAGGUAGCAGACAAGCAUUUGACUGCUAUUAAAGUGGCUAUGGCCAUGAACAUGGAUGGACCUGCGGUGCAUUAGCUAGUUGGUGAGGUAACGGCCCACCAAGCGACGAUGCAUAGCCGGCCUGAGAGGGCGGACGGCCACAUUGGGACUGAGACACGGCCCAAACUCCUACGGGAGGCAGCAGUAGGGAAUUUUCGUCAAUGGGGGGAACCCUGAACGAGCAAUGCCGCGUGAGUGAGGAAGGUCUUCGGAUCGUAAAGCUCUGUUGUAAGAGAAAAACGGCACUCAUAGGGAAUGAUGAGUGAGUGAUGGUAUCUUACCAGAAAGUCACGGCUAACUACGUGCCAGCAGCCGCGGUAAUACGUAGGUGGCGAGCGUUAUCCGGAAUGAUUGGGCGUAAAGGGUGCGUAGGUGGCAGAUCAAGUUUGGAGUAAAAGGUAUGGGCUCAACCCGUACUGGCUCUGGAAACUGAUCAGCUAGAGAACAGAAGAGGACGGCGGAACUCCAUGUGUAGCGGUAAAAUGCGUAGAUAUAUGGAAGAACACCGGUGGCGAAGGCGGCCGUCUGGUCUGGAUUCUGACACUGAAGCACGAAAGCGUGGGGAGCAAAUAGGAUUAGAUACCCUAGUAGUCCACGCCGUAAACGAUGAGAACUAGGUGUUGGGGGAAUAACUCAGUGCCGCAGUUAACGCAAUAAGUUCUCCGCCUGGGGAGUAUGCACGCAAGUGUGCAACUCAAAGGAAUUGACGGA
This 924-nucleotide ribosomal RNA is filed under the name uncultured bacterium. Its description in RNAcentral is "bacterial SSU rRNA". It matches the Rfam family "Bacterial small subunit ribosomal RNA", at positions 1 to 917 of the family's 1533-position model. The record is from RNAcentral.